RNAcentral lists this ribosomal RNA (253 nucleotides) under uncultured bacterium. RNAcentral describes it as "partial 16S ribosomal RNA". It matches the Rfam family "Bacterial small subunit ribosomal RNA", at positions 524 to 776 of the family's 1533-position model. The record is from RNAcentral.
UACGGAGGAUGCAAGCGUUAUCCGGAAUGAUUGGGCGUAAAGCGUCCGCAGGUGGCUGUGUAAGUCUGCUGUCAAAGAGCGAAGCUCAACUUCGUAAAGGCAGUGGAAACUACACGGCUAGAGUGCGUUCGGGGCAGGUGGAAUUCCCGGUGUAGCGGUGGAAUGCGUAGAGAUCGGGAAGAACAUCAGUGGCGAAGGCGGCCUGCUGGGCUGUUGCUGACGCUGAGGCGCGACAGCGUGGGGAGCAAACAGG